This 98-nucleotide non-coding RNA is filed under the name Streptomyces niveus. RNAcentral's name for it is "Glycine sequence". It matches the Rfam family "Glycine riboswitch aptamer". From Rfam's summary of the family: This family represents the bacterial glycine riboswitch. Glycine riboswitches usually consist of two metabolite-binding aptamers domains with similar structures in tandem. The aptamers cooperatively bind glycine to regulate the expression of downstream genes. The record is from RNAcentral. Lineage: Bacteria; Bacillati; Actinomycetota; Actinomycetes; Kitasatosporales; Streptomycetaceae.
CGACCCCGUGCGGGAGAGCCGUCCGGUGAGACUGCCGGAGGCGCCGAAGGAGCAAAUCCUCCCCGGAAACUCUCAGGCCCCUGUACCGCAUGGACGAG